AUUCACCGCAAGGCAGUGUUUACUAGAGAUGACCUCACCUCCCGAGGCAGUGAAAGGCUUUGCUGAAAAGAACUGAAAUACCUCUGUGAUGAAUGAACUGGCUGCCAGGGAUCGGGCUGACUCAUGAAUAAGUUUCCGUUUUAUAAGGACUUUAUUGGGGCACCCUGGGCAUGCCUUUUGCCCUGCGUCCAGGCCUGGGGGAAGAUGAAGAAAGUGAGGCACAGAGAAGUUAAGUCACUCGCCCAGUGACACACAGUACGUGGUAGAGAAGAGACACAAACCCAGGCAGCCUGACUCCAGAGCCCACUAUGGCUUCCAUCCAACAGAGUGCUCACCAUGCGCCAGUCGCCUCCCAGGAGGUGUCUCCAUUGCUGGGACAUCUGUUUCAACAGAGAUAGGACCACGAGGCAACAGAAGCCCGGCCCUGCCCUCCUCUCAGGGCUUCGUGUGACACGUGAGAAAGCUGUUUGCACAGCAGAAAUCACGGAUGAGAGGGGGAAACCGAGGCACAGAGCAGUUGAGUCACUUGCUCAUAGUCACACAGUUAUUGGAUGGAGCCUGGCUCUGGAUCCCCUGCUCAUCACCACACUGCCAUAUUGCCAGGUGAUACAGUGCUUCCCAGCUGGCUUUCAUGAGACACAUUACUGUAUCACAAAAGCGGCAGCCUGGAGAGGUGCCGAAAGCCACCAGGGCUCCCCCACGGCUGUGGACCAAGAUCGGCGCUGUUGGGCAGCCAGUGGGAUGCUCUGGCGCCCCGAUGCCGGUGAAACCCAUGCCCUUUGCAAGGAAGGCGAACCCACCCAGAAUAAUUGUUGAGCCAACAGACAGCUUAAGCCACUUAUAAGCCCGGAGGUGCCAAGGAGGAGGCCCGGCAACGUGCUGCAGCUGCAGAGGUGAGCCAGAGUCACCCUUUCUGCCAGGUUUUUUUUGUUGUUGUUGUUAUUGUUAUCGUUGGUUUUCGGGAGGAGAGAAGGAACACUUGAAAAAUUUGCUGUUUUGCUUAAGGGAUUAAUUUUCACCUGUAGCAUCACAUGAGACUUGCAGCCACUCCCUCUCCCCUGUGCCGUCAUGUUUUACUGGUCUCUUUCAUUUUGCCAUGAAGAAACCUGAUGAGAAUGUUCUAGAAACUGCAGCCUGCAGGUGGGGAUGGGGGACACAGGGGAGAAAGAAGUUUACUCUCCCCGAUAGCAGGACGGAACUUAGAAGGCCGUUGGGUAUGAGAUUGGUCCUUAGAGAUGCUUGUUUUUUUCCAGCCUCCUUAUACAUUUAAGGGCUUUCCACAUUUGCCUAAGCAAAAAGAAUGAAAAAAAUUAUGGUAAUAAUAGUUAAUAUUUACUGAGCUGACUUUACAUGUAUUAACUCAUUUAACCCUUAUGACCACCCUAGCAGGUAGAUAUUCUUAUUAGGUCUAUUUCCAGAUGAGGAACUGAAGUGCAGAAAAGUAAAUAAGGUAAUGAAAAAUUCAAACUAUCAAAAUAUAAAAAGAGAUUGUCAAUAAAAGGGAACAACCUAACGUGGCUAUGACGUGGAUGAACCUCAAAAACUAUGCUUACUGAAAGAGUCACGACGCAGGAGAUCACGUAUUGUCUGAUUCCAUUUAUGUGAAACGUCUAGAAAAGGCAAAUCUAUAGAGACAGAAGGUAGAUAAGUGGUUGCCUGGGACAGGGGCUAGAAGCGAGGAGUAACAAUAAAUGGGCACGAGAGAUCUUAUUGAGAGAGAUGAGAUACUCUGAAACAGAUUUGUAGUGAUAGUUGCACAACUUGGUAAAUUUAUUAAAAACCAUCAAAUGGGGUGAAUUGUAUAAUAGGUGAAGUAUGCUUCAAUAUGUUGUAAAACAAAGAAAUGUAAUUAAAACAUAACAAUUAAACAUUUAUUGAGCACCUA
Long non-coding RNA from Pteropus alecto (black flying fox), 1885 nucleotides. RefSeq lists it as uncharacterized. The record is from RefSeq and is a predicted model, not a curated record. NCBI's taxonomy places the organism in Eukaryota, Metazoa, Chordata, Mammalia, Chiroptera, Pteropodidae. The transcript is spliced from 4 exons.